This 1173-nucleotide long non-coding RNA is filed under the name Androctonus crassicauda. The record is from RNAcentral. Lineage: Eukaryota; Metazoa; Arthropoda; Arachnida; Scorpiones; Buthidae.
AAUCUGUCAUUUUCUAGCUUCUCCAGCUGAGACUUCUCGGAGCAUUUUCUGAAUUCACCCUAUGUUAUAUGAUCCUCAUGUAGCCGGUUCCUCCAAUGACAUAAACUCGAAUUAUAAGAAUCUAUCUUCGUGAUAACAUGACGUAUAAAUGCCACUCUAAAAGGAAAUCGUUCGUCAAUGAAGUUCUAGUUAAUAAAUCUCCAGUUUCGUUUGUUAGUAGGAACGCGAUAUAUUGAUUUUGUUUUAUCCCAUGUUGCUAGUGCACGUUAGUAAUGGCUAGUAUGAGUGCCGAAUGUUUGAUGAAAGAAUUUCUGUGAAUCGACAAAAAGAACAAUGGAACUGACCUGCCCGGGGAGAGCGCCUACAUCGAGAACGCAGCUUACGAUCGGCGAAUCGCCGUAAGAGAAAGCGCGACUUCGCAUGUCGCCGCCAUCUAUCGGGAAGAAAAAUAUUUAUUUCUCUUUGCUGAUUUUUUCCCGUUAUUAGGAGUUUUCUCACUUCUAUCCUUUACCCUACGGCGCUUUUUGUCUUCGGAUAACUCUGUCUUCACGUGACUCGAUGCCGGGUCCUUUCAUUGCGAAGGCCACUUCUAUACAGACUAUGCCAUGCGUUCUUUUUAGCGAUUACUGUUCGGAAGUCGUAUUUGGUUUGUUUGCGCGCCUGAUCCACGGUGCAUAUACGCAUUUCUUGGCUAUGUCGGCGAAUACUUAUUGCGCAUGCCGAUCAACUUUGCAUCUCGUUUCCUAAUGACGCCAGUCGCGUUUUUAUCUGCCGAGUUCGCCAAAUCUCGAGCAAUUUAUUUAACCGAACAUAUACGUUUAGCACAAAGCAUGGCAUUAUGCGAAUUAUUGCAUAGGUGUUUUUAUUCUGUGCCUCAGGGAUACUCGAAAUGCCAUCAAAUCCAUCGAAAGAGUCAGAGGACGCUAAAUGACCGCUAGCGGCCUCUUACCAGUCCCGAUAUCAUAUCGUUAAAUAGUCUAUGUAGAUGCCUUUUCGGCAGGGCCGUAACUACGGUACCCAGUGCCUGUGCAUAGUACAAAAUAGUACAAAUUUACACCCCCCACCAUUUUUUCAUUUAAAGAUAACAAUGCUGAAACUGAAUUAUCUCCAUCAAAAUGAGUUGAUUUUUGAAUCUGCUGUAAGAUAAUUAUUUAUUUAUAGGUAUAAAUAAAA